Penaeus indicus is the source of this 479-nucleotide long non-coding RNA. RefSeq lists it as uncharacterized. The record is from RefSeq and is a predicted model, not a curated record. NCBI's taxonomy places the organism in Eukaryota, Metazoa, Arthropoda, Malacostraca, Decapoda, Penaeidae. The transcript has 3 exons.
CUUCAACCAUUGGCGAGAGCGGGUGUAUGCGGCAUUAUUUCCCGCUGACACCCUGAAAAGUGAGUGUAGCGUGGUGAGACUGGACAUGUCACACUGGUGAUUCACACUGGUGUCUCCGUGUCACGAUGUCCCGGUGCUGAGAGUGCCAGGGCCACCGGCAGUGCGUGGCCCCUUGCUUUAUCUCAAGCGUGAGUGAGUGUGCGUGAGAGUAAAAUCAGACUGUAACUCUGCACCACCACACUAUCGCCAUCAUGGGGCCGGAACACCUAGGAUCUGCCUCCUUCCUUCAUAUGGGGGACAUCGUUUCCCUGUAUGCUGAGGGCAGCGUGUCGGGAUUUAUCAGCACACUCGGGCUGGUCGACGCUCGGUGUGUUGUGAAUCCCAGUGCAGGAGAUCUCACGAAUCCGCCCAAGAAAUUCAGAGGUGAGUAAGCUACGUCUCGCAUCUUUAUAUUAUACUCAUUAUGAGUGGUCAGUUAU